ACGAGAGAGAAAAUAGCUGUUGUAUUCAAAAGUAUGAGAUAGCGUGAAGAUACAAUACACGAGUGCGAGACCUAUUUAUAGAGUACAUGGAAGGGUAAAAUGGUAAAAUCGGUACAAGCGCAUGCGUUUGGCGUGAUCGAAGGGCAUAUCAGGGACUUCGCCUUCACGCGGGAAAUCUCCUGCGUUUCUGGCGAGGAUGACUUUCUCUGGCGAGGAUGA
This 219-nucleotide long non-coding RNA is filed under the name Salvia miltiorrhiza (redroot sage). Its description in RNAcentral is "long non-coding RNA (SMIL_LNC011403)". Lineage: Eukaryota; Viridiplantae; Streptophyta; Magnoliopsida; Lamiales; Lamiaceae. The record is from RNAcentral.